RNAcentral lists this ribosomal RNA (253 nucleotides) under uncultured bacterium. RNAcentral's name for it is "partial 16S ribosomal RNA". It matches the Rfam family "Bacterial small subunit ribosomal RNA", at positions 524 to 776 of the family's 1533-position model. The record is from RNAcentral.
UACAGAGGGUGCGAGCGUUGUUCGGAAUUAUUGGGCGUAAAGCGCUUGUAGGCGGCCUAUCAAGUCGCGUGUGAAAUCCCCUGGCUUAACCAGGGAAGUGCGCGCGAAACUGAAGGGCUUGAGUGCCGGAGAGGGUCGCGGAAUUCCCGGUGUAGAGGUGAAAUUCGUAGAUAUCGGGAGGAACACCAGUGGCGAAGGCGGCGACCUGGACGGACACUGACGCUGAGACGCGAAAGCGUGGGGAGCAAACAGG